RNAcentral lists this ribosomal RNA (380 nucleotides) under uncultured eukaryote. RNAcentral describes it as "partial 18S ribosomal RNA". It matches the Rfam family "Eukaryotic small subunit ribosomal RNA", at positions 592 to 976 of the family's 1831-position model. The record is from RNAcentral.
CAAUAGCGUAUAUUAAAGUUGUUGCGGUUAAAAAGCUCGUAGUUGGAUUUCUGCUGAGAACGACCGGUCCGCCCUUUGGGUGUGUAUCUGGCUCUUUCUUGGCAUCUUCUUGGUGAACGUUGCUGCACUUGACUGUGUGGAGCGCUACCCAGGACUUUUACUUUGAGGAAAUUAGAGUGUUUCAAGCAGGCAUACGCCUUGAAUACAUUAGCAUGGAAUAAUAAGAUAGGACCUCGGUUCUAUUUUGUUGGUUUCUAGAGCUGAGGUAAUGAUUAAUAGGGAUAGUUGGGGGCAUUCGUAUUUAACUGUCAGAGGUGAAGUUCUUGGAUUUGUUAAAGACGGACUACUGCGAAAGCAUUUGCCAAGGAUGUUUUCAUUGA